GUGCCACCCAACUUUGUCCCUAAGGAUAUGAAAAUUGUGCAUGUGAGGUUCACCAUUGGCAGGGACCACUGCUACAUCUGCCUUGGUCAUCAAGAUUGGUUCCUUUGGUCUGCCUCAAAAAAAAAAAAUGUUGGUCAUGGUAUUACCAAAGCAAUCAGUAACUGGACACUGACAUGUCAUUAGCAUGACACUGACACUCUAGAACAGACAGAACCAGAUUUAGGUGGUGCCCUCUGCCUCUUCAUGACAACCAAAACCCUCUCAGAGCCACCAAGAGACAGAAAAAAAAACAAGAGAACAUUAAGCACAAUAGAAAUGUUACUUUUAAUGAGAUUAUCAACAUUGCCUAGCAUAUGUGACAGUGGUCUUUAGCCAGAGAGCUUUCUGGAAAUAUUAAGAACCUGGGUACUACAUAGUCUGUGGGUUGAACUAUGAAUGGCUGCCAUCCUCAUGAUGUCAUAGAUGACAUCAACAGUGGUGCAGUGGAGUGUCCAGCUAGCUAA
Molecule: long non-coding RNA, 503 nt
Filed under: Mus musculus (house mouse)
Lineage: Eukaryota; Metazoa; Chordata; Mammalia; Rodentia; Muridae
Description: long non-coding RNA chr2:69329738-69330241
Source: RNAcentral